RNAcentral lists this transfer RNA (73 nucleotides) under Cavia porcellus (domestic guinea pig). It matches the Rfam family "tRNA". From Rfam's summary of the family: Transfer RNA (tRNA) molecules are approximately 80 nucleotides in length. The record is from Rfam by way of RNAcentral. Lineage: Eukaryota; Metazoa; Chordata; Mammalia; Rodentia; Caviidae.
AGGGAUUUAGCUCAGUGGCAUAAGCACCUGCCUGGCAAGUGUGAGGUCCUGAGUUCGAUUCCCGGUAUCCCAG